This is a long non-coding RNA of Suricata suricatta (meerkat), 471 nucleotides long. RefSeq lists it as uncharacterized. Lineage: Eukaryota; Metazoa; Chordata; Mammalia; Carnivora; Herpestidae. The record is from RefSeq and is a predicted model, not a curated record. The transcript is spliced from 2 exons.
AAAGCGCACUGAUCCUUUUAAAAUAGAGCCGUGGAGCUCCCCUUGUCUAGAGAGGGAACACAAUGCUGAAAGAAAAGGGCAGACAGCAGCAAAAUGUGUAUGAGGUCAUUUGUGUUAAUUACACACAAAAAUAUGUGACGACAAACAAAAGCCCAUAGAAGUGGCCCGAAUGGACCGAAGGAUGUCAGCCUAGCGCAUACAUCCUGACUGCACACGCGAGACUGGAGAAAGAAAGACAGCCUUGAAAGCAAUCUGAAGGACCUGUGUGACCACACUGGCCCAAGAUGAUCUAGAUAACAUCCCUACCUUAAAAUCAGCUGAUGCAUGAAGGUAACUCCAUCUAGACUUCAAGCCUCCCUUGCCACAGAGCAUACAUCUACAGGCUUUGUACAUCUUUGUACCACAGGUCUUUAUUUUGCCUGGCGCUAUUGUGCUAAAUGGAAUCUAUUAUUAAAAUUAAUUUCACCUGUC